This 482-nucleotide ribosomal RNA is filed under the name uncultured bacterium. RNAcentral describes it as "bacterial SSU rRNA". It matches the Rfam family "Bacterial small subunit ribosomal RNA", at positions 9 to 508 of the family's 1533-position model. The record is from RNAcentral.
GAGUUUGAUCCUGGCUCAGGACGAACGCUGGCGGCGUGCUUAACACAUGCAAGUCGAGCGAUGAAGCUCCUUCGGGAGUGGAUUAGCGGCGGACGGGUGAGUAACACGUGGGUAACCUGCCUCAUAGAGGGGAAUAGCCUUUCGAAAGGAAGAUUAAUACCGCAUAAGAUUGUAGUACCGCAUGGUACAGCAAUUAAAGGAGUAAUCCGCUAUGAGAUGGACCCGCGUCGCAUUAGCUAGUUGGUGAGGUAACUGCUCACCAAGGCGACGAUGCGUAGCCGACCUGAGAGGGUGAUCGGCCACAUUGGGACUGAGACACGGCCCAGACUCCUACGGGAGGCAGCAGUGGGGAAUAUUGCACAAUGGGGGAAACCCUGAUGCAGCAACGCCGCGUGAGUGAUGACGGUCUUCGGAUUGUAAAGCUCUGUCUUUAGGGACGAUAAUGACGGUACCUAAGGAGGAAGCCACGGCUAACUACGUGC